Molecule: transfer RNA, 73 nt
Filed under: Mus musculus (house mouse)
Lineage: Eukaryota; Metazoa; Chordata; Mammalia; Rodentia; Muridae
Also listed under: 1 other name
Rfam family: tRNA
About the family: Transfer RNA (tRNA) molecules are approximately 80 nucleotides in length.
Source: Rfam by way of RNAcentral
GGGGAUGUAGCUCAGUUGGUGGAGUGUUUGCCUAGCACCCAGGAAGCCCUGGGUUCAAUCCCCAGCACCCAUA